AAGCAGAGGUACUUCAGACAGUCACCAAAGAAACUGAAGAAAAGGUGCAACAAGUAGAAUUACCUGAAAGGAAAGGUAAAUUGAUGUGCAAUUCUUUGUAAGAUGCUCCUUUGUGUCAAUGAGGGCCACACAGAAAGGGGGCAACACAAAUACUGAGAGCCAUGAGCUCUAGAUCUAUUGACGUACAGAAAUAAAUUAUUAUAUUUGAGUCCAUUUACUCUUUGUGAAUCUGCUUUUGAUCACAGAACAAGAUGCUCCUGGAGAAGAAAAAGAAGAAGAAGGUGAUAUCUCAUUUCAUGAAGUACAAUGAGAAGCUGGAAUUGUUUGAACCCUGAUGUAUUUCUUAACAAAAUGAUCUGAAUGUGUUUUCCAGAGCCUAUCAAGGAGGAUCAGCCAAAAGGUAAAAAAAAAAAAAAAACAAGAAAAAGAAAAGCAUACUUUCAAAUGGAGUCACUUUUAUUCAAUCUCUUUGUCAGAUUAUUAUGCUGAGCAUGACCAAGAAAAUGACGGCACAGAGAAUUCUGUCUGAAUAUCCAGCAGUUUCUUCAUUAAAAUUCAAAUUGGUUGAAAUUGUGUUUAUUGCGCUGCUACAAAUAACUAUAUAUUUGCUGGAUAAGCACAUAACUGAACUCGUGCAGAGCAAUAAAUAUGUAUUUUCAGAACCUGACGUUCUUGAUGAGGCACAUGCAGAAGCACCUGUGAAAGAAGGUAAAUGUCUAACGAAGUUCCUGUUCGUUCCAAAUGUUCAAGUGCUCAGAAAAAUAAAGGAAGCUCUUCUUGCAGAGGCAGAGACCCCCAAGGAGGUGCAAACGGGCCCUGUAGGGUCUCAAGAACAUGAGGCUCCUCAAGAAGAAAAGGAGAAAGCUCCUGAGAUUUCUGUAAAAGCACCUACAGAACAACCCAAACAGGAAGGUACUGUCUAGGUGUUUCUCCAGCGGUUCCCGUGUCAGUAAUUCAAUAGAGAAGUUAAUGUAAAUUGAUUUAAGUGAGUGUAGAUUAAACAUUCUCAGCAAAGUGAGGUGAAUGUGUUUUACAGAGCCUGCAGAGGAAGGUCAACCACAAGGUAGAAUACAUUAAAUCCACACUUUCUAUUUAGUCUCUCUGUCCAACUAUUGGUCUAAGUCUCACAUUUUACCACAAGAAUCACUAAAAUUUAAUGUUACGAUCACGGUACCAGGUGUUAAGAAGACAGAAGAACAUGAAAAGCUGGAAGAUGUAGAAGCAGCAGGGAAGAUGGGUUGGUCGAUUAUAUUACAAAUUAAAAUUAAAGCAAGGUUUCAUUUAAAGCUGCAUAUAUUGUACCGUAUAUAAACAUACAAGAAAAAGAUGAAAAUAGAGACUUCUGAGAUGAUUUGGUGUCCCUUGAUUGAGGGGUUCAUUGUUUUGUGGUGGCUUGUAUGUCCACUAAAGUCAAAACUGGAAAACCUGUCAUUUUUAAAAUGGCUAGUGAUAACCACGUUUGUUAAAUUGCCACCCUUUUGAAAACGCGAAAGAGAAUUCUAAUAACCCUCGGCAAUUUCAUCUUUUACAUGGGAGAUCUGUUUUUUUUUUUUUUUUUUUUUCUUUCAGAAGUACAGCCAGGACCCAGAGAAAUAGGUAAAGGUUUCAUUCAUAUGAAUUCAUGGUUCAUGCCAAAAAAAUGUUUUUAAAUAUUCAGAAAAACAACCUUUUGCAGAGCCGGAGAUUCAGAGGGAGGUGCAGAUGAAGCCCCAGCAGACUCAAGGUGAGGUUUACAUUUAUUUAGCACUUUUGUCCAAAGCAACUUCCAGUGAACUGUAUGUAGUGUUAUGAGCCCACACACCUUAUUCACCGCGGUGACUUACACUGCUAGAUACACUACAUACACUGGGUCACUCAUCCAUACAUCACUGGAACACACUCUCUCUGUCACUCACACACUGUGGGUGAACCUGAACAGCAUGU
Long non-coding RNA from Scleropages formosus (Asian bonytongue), 1923 nucleotides. Lineage: Eukaryota; Metazoa; Chordata; Actinopteri; Osteoglossiformes; Osteoglossidae. The record is from Ensembl.